GGCUUUCGGGUUGUAAACCUCUUUCAGUAGGGAAGAAGCGAAAGUGACGGUACNUGCAGAAGAAGCACCGGCUAACUACGUGCCAGCAGCCGCGGUAAUACGUAGGGUGCGAGCGUUAUCCGGAAUUAUUGGGCGUAAAGAGCUCGUAGGCGGUUUGUCGCGUCUGUCGUGAAAGUCCGGGGCUUAACCCCGGAUCUGCGGUGGGUACGGGCAGACUAGAGUGCAGUAGGGGAGACCGGAAUUCCUGGUGUAGCGGUGGAAUGCGCAGAUAUCAGGAGGAACACCGAUGGCGAAGGCAGGUCUCUGGGCUGUAACUGACGCUGAGGAGCGAAAGCAUGGGGAGCGAACAGGAUUAGAUACCCUGGUAGUCCAUGCCGUAAACGUUGGGCACUAGGUGUGGG
RNAcentral lists this ribosomal RNA (401 nucleotides) under Micrococcus luteus. RNAcentral's name for it is "bacterial SSU rRNA". It matches the Rfam family "Bacterial small subunit ribosomal RNA", at positions 413 to 826 of the family's 1533-position model. Lineage: Bacteria; Bacillati; Actinomycetota; Actinomycetes; Micrococcales; Micrococcaceae. The record is from RNAcentral.